This 253-nucleotide ribosomal RNA is filed under the name uncultured bacterium. RNAcentral's name for it is "partial 16S ribosomal RNA". It matches the Rfam family "Bacterial small subunit ribosomal RNA", at positions 524 to 776 of the family's 1533-position model. The record is from RNAcentral.
GACGAAGGACCCAAGCGUUAUCCGGAUUCAUUGGGUUUAAAGGGUGCGUAGGCGGACUUGUAAGUCAGUGGUGAAAGCCCGAUGCUUAACAUCGGAACUGCCAUUGAUACUGCUAGUCUUGAGUACAUUUGAUGUGGGCGGAAUAUGACAUGUAGCGGUGAAAUGCUUAGAUAUGUCAUAGAACACCGAUUGCGAAGGCAGCUCACAAAACUGUAACUGACGCUGAGGCACGAAAGCGUGGGGAUCAAACAGG